Molecule: non-coding RNA, 785 nt
Filed under: Siboglinum fiordicum
Lineage: Eukaryota; Metazoa; Annelida; Polychaeta; Sabellida; Siboglinidae
Source: RNAcentral
AGUUUGAUUCUAGCUAAUAAAUUUAUUAAAUUCAUAUUUAUACAUGCAAAAAUUUUUACUCCCAUAAUAUUCUAUUCAAUAUAUUUUAAAUACAUAUAUAUAUAUUUAUGCCUGCAGUAAUUAAUACUAGAUAAACUAUAAAUGUAAGUUCUGGUAAAAAUUUUAAAGUUGGUAAAAUUCGUGCCAGCUACCGCGGUUAUACGAUAAACUUAAAUAAAUUUCCUUAGAAAAAUGAUUUUUACAAUCUUGAUAUAUUAUAAAUAAUUAAAAGUUUAAUCUUAAAAUUUUAUUUUUCUUUUUAUAUCUUUUUUUUUUAUUUCAUGAAAGUUUACUUAAAAACAAGGAUUAGAUACCCUUUUAUUUUAAACCUUAAAUAACUCUAGAGAACUACAAAUACAUAUUUAAAACUCAAAGAACUUGGCAGUACUUUAUCUAAUUAGGGGAACCUGUAUUUUAAUCCGACAAUCCACGUUAAUCUUACCUUAAUUUGAAACUUUCAACUUGUAUACUGCCGUCAUCAGUUUAUCAUCUAAAUGCUAAUAAACCUAAUAAUAUAUAAUUUUUAUGUCAGGUCCUAGUACAGUUUAUAUUAAGGCUAAUAUGGGUUACAUUUUUAACUAAAUUUUAGACUUUAAAUGAAAAUUAUAAUAAAAACGAACUUAAUAGUAAUUUUAUUAACUUAAAUAAAAUGAAUAAUGAUACCUAAAGUAUGUACAUAUCGCCCGUCACUCUUUUUGAAAAAAAAGAUAAGUCGAAACAUAGUAGGUGUAAUGGAAAUUGUGCCU